Molecule: transfer RNA, 87 nt
Filed under: Oscillospiraceae bacterium
Lineage: Bacteria; Bacillati; Bacillota; Clostridia; Eubacteriales; Oscillospiraceae
Description: tRNA-Leu
Rfam family: tRNA
About the family: Transfer RNA (tRNA) molecules are approximately 80 nucleotides in length. Their secondary structure includes four short double-helical elements and three loops (D, anti-codon, and T loops). Further hydrogen bonds mediate the characteristic L-shaped molecular structure. tRNAs have two regions of fundamental functional importance: the anti-codon, which is responsible for specific mRNA codon recognition, and the 3' end, to which the tRNAs corresponding amino acid is attached (by aminoacyl-tRNA synthetases). tRNAs cope with the degeneracy of the genetic code in two manners: having more than one tRNA (with a specific anti-codon) for a particular amino acid; and 'wobble' base-pairing, i.e. permitting non-standard base-pairing at the 3rd anti-codon position.
Source: RNAcentral
GCUGCUGUGGCGGAACUGGCAGACGCCCGGGACUUAAAAUCCCGUGAUGGCAACAUCGUACCGGUUCGAUUCCGGUCAGCAGCACCA